This 432-nucleotide long non-coding RNA is filed under the name Prunus persica (peach). Its description in RNAcentral is "long non-coding RNA (PPER_LNC008483)". Lineage: Eukaryota; Viridiplantae; Streptophyta; Magnoliopsida; Rosales; Rosaceae. The record is from RNAcentral.
GACAAUAUAGAAGACAAUCAAACGAUUAGCUUAAAAGAACCCAAGUAUGGAAUCCACCAUAUAUGAGAAAACCUCAAGUUUAUUGAAUUCAGAAUGAUAGCAGAAAGCCUGCAAACCUUGCACCUUUUAAGAGUGUACAAUUGUUUUUUUGUUUUAUUUUUUUAAAAAAGUACGUAGUUCAGUUUUAUAUUGAUAUGAUUUUUGUCCAAAUAUUUCUAGGCAUCUUGGAAAUGCUGUAGCUUACUAACUAAUCAAUAUUAAUUGUACAUAUAAUCAUGGGUGCUUGAAUUCAUAAGAAAAUAUUAUUGCUGGGUACAUAUAAUCUUAGGGGCUAGACUUUUGAAACGUAACAUAGGGGCACUACUACAAAAAAGCAAAAAGACGACGGUAAAUCACCGUCGUGUAUUUGGUUUUUCAAUGGUCGUGGAAUCC